GACAGAGGGGGCAAGCGUUGCUCGGAAUUACUGGGCGUAAAGGGCGCGUAGGCGGAAUGGCAAGUCGGUCGUGAAAUCCUUCGGCUCAACCGAAGAACGUCGGUCGAAACUGCCGUUCUUGAGGAUUGCAGAGGAGACUGGAAUUCCCGGUGUAGCAGUGAAAUGCGUAGAGAUGCGGAGGAACACCGAUGGCGAAGGCAGCCCCCUGGGCUGACACUGACGCUCAGGCACGAAAGCGUGGGGAGCAAACAGG
RNAcentral lists this ribosomal RNA (253 nucleotides) under uncultured bacterium. Its description in RNAcentral is "partial 16S ribosomal RNA". It matches the Rfam family "Bacterial small subunit ribosomal RNA", at positions 524 to 776 of the family's 1533-position model. The record is from RNAcentral.